CCAUGAAUCUGGUCUUGGGACACUGUCAGGUGGGCAGUUUGACUGGGGCGGUCGCCUCCCAAAAGGUAACGGAGGCGCUCAAAGGUUCUCGCAGUACGGUCGGAAAUCGUACGUAGAGUGUAAAGGCAAAAGAGAGCUUGAUUGCAAGACAUACAGGUCGAGCAAGGAUGAAAAUCGGACUUAGUGAUCCGGUGGUUCUGCGUGGAAGGGCCAUCGCU
This 218-nucleotide ribosomal RNA is filed under the name Clostridioides difficile. Its description in RNAcentral is "partial 23S ribosomal RNA". It matches the Rfam family "Bacterial large subunit ribosomal RNA", at positions 2233 to 2449 of the family's 2925-position model. Lineage: Bacteria; Bacillati; Bacillota; Clostridia; Peptostreptococcales; Peptostreptococcaceae. The record is from RNAcentral.